This 212-nucleotide ribosomal RNA is filed under the name Enterococcus casseliflavus. Its description in RNAcentral is "partial 16S ribosomal RNA". It matches the Rfam family "Bacterial small subunit ribosomal RNA", at positions 1 to 200 of the family's 1533-position model. The record is from RNAcentral. Lineage: Bacteria; Bacillati; Bacillota; Bacilli; Lactobacillales; Enterococcaceae.
UAUGAGAGUUUGAUCCUGGCUCAGGACGAACGCUGGCGGCGUGCCUAAUACAUGCAAGUCGAACGCUUUUUCUUUCAUCGGAGCUUGCUCCACCGAAAGAAAAAGAGUGGCGAACGGGUGAGUAACACGUGGGUAACCUGCCCAUCAGAAGGGGAUAACACUUGGAAACAGGUGCUAAUACCGUAUAACACUAUUUUCCGCAUGGAAGAAAG